UACGAAGGGGGCUAGCGUUGCUCGGAAUCACUGGGCGUAAAGCGCACGUAGGCGGCUUGUUAAGUCAGGGGUGAAAUCCUGGAGCUCAACUCCAGAACUGCCUUUGAUACUGAUGAGCUUGAGUUCGGGAGAGGUGAGUGGAACUGCGAGUGUAGAGGUGAAAUUCGUAGAUAUUCGCAAGAACACCAGUGGCGAAGGCGGCUCACUGGACCGGUACUGACGCUGAUGCGCGAAAGCGUGGGGAGCAAACGGG
This 253-nucleotide ribosomal RNA is filed under the name uncultured bacterium. RNAcentral's name for it is "partial 16S ribosomal RNA". It matches the Rfam family "Bacterial small subunit ribosomal RNA", at positions 524 to 776 of the family's 1533-position model. The record is from RNAcentral.